Molecule: long non-coding RNA, 1908 nt
Organism: Lytechinus pictus (painted urchin)
Lineage: Eukaryota; Metazoa; Echinodermata; Echinoidea; Temnopleuroida; Toxopneustidae
Exons: 3
Source: RefSeq, a predicted model, not a curated record
GUCGACGAAAUGAUUUUGUGUCGAAACACAAAAAAAUAAUUUCGUCGACGAAAUUAUUUCGUGUCAAAAGACAAAAAAAUUUCGUCGACGAAAUGAUUUUGUGUUUUGAGUCUUUUUGACAUAAAAUCAUUUCGUCUCCUCUGUCUCGAAGGGGACAUAAGAAGGUCGCUGAUUGGCUGCACCUUGCUCAAGCUGUUUUCGCUCCGGGACGAUCACACUUUUUCACAGCUCAGAUUGGCAUGUUGGUGAACUUAUUAGCUUAGAUUUCACGUUAUUCAUGCCUACAUGAGCUGCAUACAACUGCUCUAAUCGGUAGGAUGUGGACGGACAUUGCAUUCAUUCCCAUUCAGCCGUUGGACUGAACCUGUACUGUCUGUAACACAGUAUGGAUGGUCAAUAUGAAGCGAGCUUCAUUGAAUUCCUCCAAGAGCUCUGUACUCCGUUCUGACCAUUUUGAAGAUGGUUGCUUUGACAGGACUGGGCAAGUGACUCGUCUUAGACAGGAUGCUGUCCCAACCAUGUUUGAUUUCCUGCCUCGUCUUCAGAAGAAUUCACCCAAGCCAAGGAAUUCCCCGAAAGAAAGACGUUUUGAUUCAGCAAACAACCUCCCAGAUACUGCAAAGUCUUCAGCACCUUCAUUUCUCGAGGACCACUCCUACUCAAUAUCAGAAAGUCCAAGAGAGGUAAAGUGGAAGAUAACAGCAAUAAUGGACUGUAUUAAGAACUUGGAGAAGAGGCUGAAAACCACACACGAGAAGUCCCGCCGUGUACAUUACUUGCUCUUAAGUUUGGACAAACAUAACUUGCAAAACUUUACAACAAAUAAUUACCCCAAUGUGCAUUCUGAUUAUUUAAAAUAGCUCAAUGAAAUAGUUUAUCAGUGGGCAUGUAACAAAAGUGAAUUCAUUAAAUUUGAACGUGUUGCAAAAAUGAUGUCUUACAGUAUAUUCAUUCUGACUUAGAAUGUCAGAAGAGAAAAAAGUUUGUGAAAAGUAGGAAUGACGGCAAGAUGACAGAAGAAUAGAACAGGAUAGAGCAAGGGGGACAGAUAAAGGACAAGUCCACCCCAAAAAUUGUUGAUAUGAAUAAAAAGAGAAAAAUCCAACAAGCAUAACACUGAAAAUUUGAUAAAAAAUCGGAUGUAAAAUAAAAAAGUUAUGACAUUUAAAAAUUUUGCUAAAUUUUACAAAAGAGUUAUAUGCACAUUCUGUACACAGUCAGUAUGCAAAUGAGGAGACUGAUGACGUCAUCCACUCACUAUUUCAUUUGAUAUAUAGAAUAAGGUAUAUUCUAAUUUUCUCCUUGUCAUGUUAAACAAAAUUUUAUUCCUCCCUGAUCAUGUGGAAUUAGCAUUAUUCAAUACUUUUUUGGUUCAGUAAAGUUUGUCCUUAUGGUAAAAUCUGUAAAAAAUGAAAUAUUGUAUAAUUCAAACAAUAAAAAACAAAAUAAACAGUGAGUGAGGGACAUUAUCGACUGUCUCAUUUGCAUGUCACUGAGUUGUGAAUAUUUUUGUUUUGUGAAAAAUAAGUGAAAAUUUAAAAUGCCAUAACUUUCUUAGUUUACAUCCCAUUUUGAUGAAAUUUGCAGCGUUAUGCUAGUUUGAUUUUUCUCAAUUUAACUGAACCAACAAUUUUCUUGGGUAGACUUGACCUUUACUAAUGAGCUGUUGGAUAGAGACAAAAAGAUGAAUUGAGAUUGAGGGUGAUAGAGAAAGAGAGACAGGUGUGGGGGAGCCUAUGAUGAAUGCCUGAGAAAGCGAACAUUACCAUAAUUUUUUUUUUGAGGAUUUGGACAGUAAUGAAAAGUACAUGUUUUUUCUGUUGGUAUUUCUCAAAAUAUGUGUAUGUUGUAUGUAAUGAAAUGGGUAUAAUCCUUUUGUAAGAUACACUCAUUCAGAAAAUAUUAACU